GGCCGACUAGCUCAGCUGGUUAGAGCGUCGUGCUAAUACGGAAAGCGAUCGGCUUCCGGUGACGCGAAGGUCUUGGGUUCGAUCCCCACGUUGGCCA
Molecule: non-coding RNA, 97 nt
Organism: Paxillus rubicundulus Ve08.2h10
Lineage: Eukaryota; Fungi; Basidiomycota; Agaricomycetes; Boletales; Paxillaceae
Source: Rfam